CCCAAGUCAUAGAACUAGACAUAGACUUGCUAGAGAAUCACAACCAAAAAUACAUAAAGUAAACUACUCUAUAAUUACAACAAAAGAGACCUAACUAGAGCAGGUCCAUGUGCACCCUUGGUCGGGGCACUGCCGUGCGCGCAGGGCAUGGUGCGCGCGCGCACUGGGGCGCAGGCACUAGGCGCUGAGCGCUGGCACUGUAGCAGAGCUGCAUUGUCACUGGGCGCUGGGCACGCGUUGAGGCACGGCCAGCGCAGGGGCGCGAGCGAGGGACAUUAAUGGGGUGACAUUGGCAGAAGCAACCUUGUCAUUUAGGGCGUCCGAGACCACGGGGCUGUCCAUGGCGCUAGGCGCUGAGAGGCUUGCCAUGGCGCUAUAGGGCGCUCCCAAGGGGUCAUGGGGCAUGGCUGGAAAGCCGCCCAUGACAUAACUCAUAGCUUACCUAAGAUAUCGAGUUUACUGGUGUUAUUCAGAGCCAAUCUUUUGUUUCUAACGACAUCACAUGGAUAUGAAGUUACCUUUUGAGUUCCUUCCUGCGUUCCGGUAUUGCAAGAUAUGCAUAUUGUACAAGGUCUUAAUACACUUGAGUUUUCCUAUCUGCAGGAAGGAAUUUCGAAGGAAACACUAGUGUAAGACUGAAUACUUGAAUAUGCGUACAAAAAGGCCAGCGUGCUGCAAAUAUCCAUAUGAAUGCGAACCAGAAGAUGUCGUACAAAGUGGAGCAGCCCAAGAGGGAAGAGCAGGAUUUCCUAAUGAGCCAGUGACUCUCUUUGUUACCAAAGAUUCUUACAAGUAUAAGGUUGUCCUGCCGGAUGUCCCGAGAAACCUGUUAAUGUAAUCUGGAACAACCUCUCUACCCACAAAGGUAGAGGUAACGUCUGCGUACACCCGCCAGACAGCACUUGUGGGACCAACCUAGGCAAAUUGUUAGUUGAAGUUCAGUAUAAUGAGGAUUUCAAAGUAGGAGGGAUGGCAAGUGUUGGUGAAACAACAAGCACUGUGGCGCCAAUUACGCUUAAUAGAAACACUCGACGGAUAUUUCCUCCUGGUCACUUCACCAUCAGUUUCACUUUGCCAAUACCUGCUGAUUUUAACACCCCGUAUCUUAGAACAAAGGUUAGACUUAUAUCAUUAGAGUUUAGCAGAGAAUUUGAAAGUUUGUACGUUUUGCGAAAAUGGUCAACAGGCCUACUUAGAGCACCCAUAACCCCUUUAUUUAUUGAGAAUUUGAGAAACCGUAAAACAUAAAAGUUGUAGAACUUUGAAAUAUCUUUCCAACGGUAUCUUGUGAAGCUCAAAAGAAGCUCUGUGCUAAGAGUUAUGCCUGUUUUACUAUCACUGGUCGAAGCAGAAUUUUCAGAUUUUGGGUUACGUUUUUAGCCUUUUCCUACUCGAAUUGGGACUCCUUAUUUUAUUAUUGUAUGAAGUAAAAACGUCCCUUAACACUAUUCUAAACCCUAAUAGACUAUUCUUUUUCUUUCUACCUCCAUCCAUAAAGAACCUAGACACUUCAAUCUUGCAAGAAACUCAUUCUUGCAAUCAAGAAAAAUCAAGAAACCUUCAAGAAUUUGGUUUGGCAAUCUAGUUUCCUAAGGCUUCCUCCAAGGUAAAUAUUUUAAUCAAGAACCUUUGUAUUCUACAAGAUUUAUCAUUUAUAAAGACUAGAAUAAAUCCAUCCAUCCCGUUACCCUAUAAAAACCAAGAGUUGUAAAAAACGUUGGAGAAAACUCUAGUAUUUUUCUGUUGAGUUUCAUUCCGAUUAGCCAUAUUAAUUUGGUGUUUUCCGAUAAUCUAACCGUUGGAUCAAGCCUAAAUUUUAACUGAAUGUUCAUAACACAUAAUUCUAAAAUAUGAACGGUGAAGAUUGUAUUUGGAGGUCUGGAGAAGUACCCUUUGAUCCACGAACAGUAGCUACGAAAAUUAGUGAAAAUCCUCUCAAGGUUUCCAAAUUCAAAGCUUUUGGAAUUCUUCUUCAAAGAUUCAUACUUUUCUUCAAUUUUUGGAGCGAUUAAGGUAUGAAGAGUUACUAUCUACGUGUGGGAACAUCAUUGUUCUUCCCCACGCCUCAUAAUCCAUAAAUUAUGGUUCUCUGCGAAAACUAGGGUUUCUAUACCAUGCUCAUGAUAACCCUAGGUCCAUGUCCAUGAUUAUAUUAUGUAUGAAUUAUUAUAAUUCCAUCAUUGAGUUCUUAAUAUUUCUUUAUGAUUAUUGAGAAUCCGUCCGUAAUCCAUGAAAACCCAUAUCUUGUAUUCCAUGGGUUCUUGCAUGCAUGUUUUUAAAUAAAAAAUGCUUAUUUCAUGAAUAUCCUACAUGACUACAAGUUUUCAUGCAAUUGUAUUAUAUAACUAUCUUCAUGCCAUGACUCAAGAUACAUACAUGCUAAAUACAAGUUAUUUCAUUAAAAAACCAUGUUUUCAAGUUAUUUCGUGAAAUCAUGAUUACAAGACAAGUACAAGUUAAUUCACGAAAAUCAUGGGCUUCUUAGCCAAUUAUAUCAUGUUCAUGUUUUUGGGAGUUGCACGAAUUACCGAGAAGGCUCAGAUAGCCUGAAACUAGGACAAGGAUCGCUCCGCCCAAUUAGGACGAUUUCCUUAAUUUGACACUGAAUGGAUCCAUCAGGCACGUUACCACCUUAUACCCUGGCAAGGUAUGGGGGCUCUGCUGGUCCGACGAGGUACCAGACUCCACGUAUUUACGUGGUGAUAUCAUGUUGUCGGUUUAUGAAAUGCUCUCCCUACUUAUUAUGUUUUACUUAUGUUAUA
This is an RNA transcript of Lycium barbarum (goji berry), 2762 nucleotides long. It is a transcript of the gene named alpha-crystallin domain-containing protein 22.3-like, with no coding region annotated. NCBI's taxonomy places the organism in Eukaryota, Viridiplantae, Streptophyta, Magnoliopsida, Solanales, Solanaceae. The record is from RefSeq and is a predicted model, not a curated record. The transcript has 3 exons.